Molecule: ribosomal RNA, 473 nt
Filed under: Blastocystis hominis
Lineage: Eukaryota; Bigyra; Opalinata; Blastocystidae
Description: SSU rRNA
Rfam family: Eukaryotic small subunit ribosomal RNA
Source: RNAcentral
GGAGGUAGGUACAAUAAAUCACAAUGCGGGACUAUCAGUCUUGCAAUUGGAUUGAGAACAAUGUACAACUCUUAUCGAUAAGCCAUUGGAGGGCAAGUCUGGUGCCAGCAGCCGCGGUAAUUCCAGCUCCAAUAGCGUAUAUUAACGUUGUUGCAGUUAAAAAGCUCGUAGUUGAAGUGUGGGUGAUCGCUGUUGUGAGACUUCGGUCUCUCGACAGUAAGUCACCCCCUUCCAGUAUCCAGUAGUGGGUAUUCAGUUCAGUUACUUACUAUUGUGUGUUGGUCCUUUACUGUGAGAAAAUUAGAGUGUUCAAAGCAGGCGUUUGCUUGAAUAGAUUAGCAUGGAAUAAUAAUUGAAGGCUUUCGUGUUCGAUUUGAUUGGUUUGUUCAUGGAAGCAAGGUUAAAAGGAACAGUUGGGGGUAUUCAUAUUCACUAGUUAGAGGUGAAAUUCUCGGAUUUAUGGAAGAUGAACA